This 67-nucleotide transfer RNA is filed under the name Urocitellus parryii (Arctic ground squirrel). RNAcentral describes it as "Spermophilus parryii (Arctic ground squirrel) tRNA". It matches the Rfam family "tRNA". From Rfam's summary of the family: Transfer RNA (tRNA) molecules are approximately 80 nucleotides in length. The record is from Rfam by way of RNAcentral. RNAcentral also lists the same sequence under 1 other name. Lineage: Eukaryota; Metazoa; Chordata; Mammalia; Rodentia; Sciuridae.
UGGUGGAGCUCAGUGGUAGAGCACUUACCUAACAUGCAUGAGGCCUGGGGUUCAAUUCCCAGCACCA